AUCUAAUGUUAAUUAAACUUUUCUAGGGGCUGGGAUGGAUAAUUCUGCUUUUGUGUUGUUAAAUCUCCUUUGAUUUUAAUUGCAUGACAAAAAAAUUGACUGUUAAUGUAAUGUUAGCAAAUGUUCAGAUUGAUUGCAAGCCUCUGUGUAUGCUAAGUAAAAUAAUUAAAUGCUUUUAAUUGAGGUGGUUUGUUUUGUUGAUUUUUUUUUUUUUUUUUUUUUUUCCUUUUUUUUUUUUUUUUUUUUUUUUUUUUUGUUUUGUUUCUCCACAGGACAGCCACACUGCUAACAAAGCUUGUACUGUCAGGAUGUUGAAGGUCAUUCUAUAAUCUGUUCAGAGAGAGCUACUUCCCUUUAAAUGAAAAGAAAAAUCAACUGAGAUGACCUAAAAUUGUUUAGAAAAUCCUAUUACACUUACUGAAUUCCAGUUAUAUAUUUCAGAUUCACAUAAAAUUCAAUGAACUCUCAUAUCAAAUAUGAAAAAUUGUAGCAAGUUUUCAAUGAUAUGCGCAAUAUUUCUCCCCUUUUGUGCCUGACUUGGACAAACAAGGCACUUCUCUCAGUGAUAGCAAUGGACAAACUGAAAUUAUUAACGUUAAAAUGUACCUAAUACUGUGAUGUGUUUUAGAACUGGAAACAAAGGUAGGACAUGUCUUACACAUCUGUCUUGCUUCUCUGUGCAUCUGUCUGUCUCUUCACAGCAAGUCAAUAAAAAUGAUUAGAGCUGGCAUCUCACAAACGUACACCCUUAAACCAUGAAGAAAUAAUACUGUGAAGGAAAUUUUUUUUCUGACCUUUUCAAAUUACAUCCAACUGUCUAGGGAAUUUCUCAGUGACUGGAGGUAAUAAGGUUCAAUCCGUUUUGCUGGUUGGCUUCAAAUUUAGCUCCUCAGAAGCCCUAACUUAUCUAUUCUUUUUAUCUUGGCCUUGGCAUCUAUUCAGUACAGUAAUCCAUGCAUCUAAUCUAUUUUUUUCUCCCCUCUCAGGUUUAGCUGGUGGAUCACAUUUUGAAAUCUGCAGCCAUGAAAAGCCCUCCAUUUAUUGCACCCUUCAAAACGAAAUAUUAGCAUGGGAGGCUAAGCUGGGUGUUAUGGAGUAAUGACUUCAAGUUCUGCUUCAGAAGUAACUCCAUGG
Molecule: long non-coding RNA, 1134 nt
Filed under: Coturnix japonica (Japanese quail)
Lineage: Eukaryota; Metazoa; Chordata; Aves; Galliformes; Phasianidae
Description: lncRNA (ENSCJPG00005005069.1)
Source: RNAcentral